RNAcentral lists this ribosomal RNA (601 nucleotides) under uncultured bacterium. Its description in RNAcentral is "bacterial SSU rRNA". The stretch from base 1 to 533 matches the Rfam family "Bacterial small subunit ribosomal RNA", at positions 338 to 873 of the family's 1533-position model. The record is from RNAcentral.
CCUACGGGAGGCAGCAGUAAGGAAUAUUGGUCAAUGGACGCAAGUCUGAACCAGCCAUGCCGCGUGAAGGAUUAAGGCCCUCUGGGUUGUAAACUUCUUUUAUAGGGGACGAAAAAAGGGCAUUCUUGCUCACUUGACGGUACCCUAGGAAUAAGCACCGGCUAACUCCGUGCCAGCAGCCGCGGUAAUACGGAGGGUGCAAGCGUUAUCCGGAUUUACUGGGUUUAAAGGGUGCGUAGGUGGGUUGGUAAGUCAGUGGUGAAAUCUUCGAGCUUAACUCGGAAACUGCCAUUGAUACUAUCAAUCUUGAAUCAUCUAGAGGUAAGCGGAAUAUGUCAUGUAGCGGUGAAAUGCUUAGAUAUGACAUAGAACACCAAUUGCGAAGGCAGCUUACUAUGGAUGUAUUGACACUGAGGCACGAAAGCGUGGGGAUCAAACAGGAUUAGAUACCCUGGUAGUCCACGCCCUAAACGAUGGAUACUCGACAUUUGUGAUAUACUAUAAGUGUNUGAGAGAAGANAUAAUAUACCACCAGAGAGACGUAAGUAGAANANAAAGAAGUAGAGAGNGAGAGAGCGACGACGACGACGAGGAGGAGGAG